This 165-nucleotide ribosomal RNA is filed under the name uncultured bacterium. Its description in RNAcentral is "partial 16S rRNA". It matches the Rfam family "Bacterial small subunit ribosomal RNA", at positions 355 to 510 of the family's 1533-position model. The record is from RNAcentral.
UAGGGAAUCUUCCACAAAUGGACGCAAGUCUGAUGGAGCAACGCCGCGUGAGUGAAGAAAGGUCUUCGGAUCGUAAAACUCUGUUGUUAGAGAAGAACACGAGUGAGAGUAACUGUUCAUUCGAUGACGGUAUCUAACCAGCAAGUCACGGCUAACUACGUACAG